Molecule: transfer RNA, 84 nt
Filed under: Caudoviricetes sp.
Lineage: Duplodnaviria; Heunggongvirae; Uroviricota; Caudoviricetes
Description: tRNA-Tyr
Rfam family: tRNA
About the family: Transfer RNA (tRNA) molecules are approximately 80 nucleotides in length. Their secondary structure includes four short double-helical elements and three loops (D, anti-codon, and T loops).
Source: RNAcentral
GGGAGAAUAUACCGUAAGAGGUAGCGGGGCAGACUGUAAAUCUGCUGCCAUUUGGCUCGGGUGGUUCGACUCCAUCUUCUCCCA